UACAGAGGGUGCAAGCGUUAAUCGGAAUUACUGGGCGUAAAGCGUGCGUAGACGGUUAUGUAAGUCGGGUGUGAAAGCCCCGGGCUCAACCUGGGAAUUGCAUUCGAGACUGCAUAGCUAGGGUGCGGAAGAGGGAAGCGGAAUUUCCGGUGUAGCGGUGAAAUGCGUAGAUAUCGGAAGGAACACCAGUGGCGAAAGCGGCUUCCUGGUCCAGCACCGACGUCAGGCACGAAGCGUGGGGAGCAAACAGGA
RNAcentral lists this ribosomal RNA (252 nucleotides) under uncultured bacterium. RNAcentral describes it as "partial 16S ribosomal RNA". It matches the Rfam family "Bacterial small subunit ribosomal RNA", at positions 524 to 777 of the family's 1533-position model. The record is from RNAcentral.